Ostrea edulis (European flat oyster) is the source of this 598-nucleotide long non-coding RNA. RefSeq lists it as uncharacterized. Lineage: Eukaryota; Metazoa; Mollusca; Bivalvia; Ostreida; Ostreidae. The transcript is spliced from 3 exons. The record is from RefSeq and is a predicted model, not a curated record.
UUACUUCAUGGAGCGCGUUAGGAGAGAUAGAUGGAGCGAGAGAAGGAAGACGCGCUGAUGAAAACAGGUACAGACUACGAACAGUGAUCAAUCUCACAACUCUACAAGCAAUACAAAAUAGAGAGGUGGGCAAACACGGACUCCUGGAUAUACCAGAGGUGGGAUCAAGUGUCUAGGAAGAGUUACAAGCAUCCCCUGUCGACCGGUCGCACAUACCGUGAGCCCUAUAUCUUGAUCAGAUAACUUGCCUACGAUUUUACCGAACAACCCUCGUAUAUAUUUUAAGAGCGUUGAAAUUAUGUUCCUGGUAGUGACGUCAGCAACAACGAAGUGUCCAAUUGUUUACAUUAUUACUAAGCUUUGUGAUAGUGGCAAUUCUACACUUGGUUACACUAAUACCCGGAUAUAUCCUGGUGUCACGAGAACUUUAAUCGGUGCGUUAUCUGUAGGAUACAGCUAUUAACGGCUCAUUAGUCUGAACGUAUUGGAAUAAGACGUGGAAGGGAUGAGACUCGUUUUGCUGAGUAUGUAUGUUGGUCAGCUGCGUCUACAAAUUUCAGCAACAUAUUCUGAAUAAAGAUUUUUUUAAAAAUCAACA